UAUGUCUAUAUUACAAGAAGAUUUAAACUUUCUUUUAACAAUAUUCAAUACAAUUUUUAAUAUUAAAAUAAAUACUGAUGUUAAAAUUACACAUGUGAUAGCAUACACAUUGUUUAUGUCAUCCUUCAUCUCUUGCUUGACAUUGUAAUACAAACACUUUAUUCUCUCUUCAAAAUUAUUUAUUAACUCGAAAUCCUGCCGCACGCAUGUCUUUUUGACGACGACGUGUCACAUGUCUUCUUAGCAAUGUGCAUUUUUGAACCUUUACAAUGGCGAGAGUCGUUUUUGACACUGUGCAUUUUUGAACUUGUAAAAUGGCAUCUUACAGAGUCUCUUAAAUACCUAAGCACAAUAGUUGUCGAGACGAAAUAGUGUAGUUUGUUAAGGCGCUGAAUUCGACCAUGAAGACUGGUUGUUCGAUUCCCGGCUCGACAUUUUUUAUUAAAAAAAAAAAUAUUCUCUAUUGUUUCGUCACGUCGUAUGACGUGGAUCGUCGGAUGACAACAUGACUUUCGUGAAGUCACGCAUGAUAAGAGUUGCGUUACGUUACAUCGCGCGUCGUUACCUUUUUUAAAUCCCCAUUCUUGAACCCGCUUUGUCUCACUAUUUGCAAUAAAUAAAAUUUUUUGAAAAUAAAUAGUUUUUUUUAUAUUUUCCUUAUUUAGUCGUAUUAAAUUCGAUAAUUUUGUGUUUCAAUUUAUUUCUUCAAUGGCAAAAACAAUUUUUUGUUAUAAGUGGUAAUUGUUGUAGUUUUUGUCUUUAUGCUUCCAGUCUAAUAAGCCGUUUGGAAAAAAUAUUCUCAUAUCUGUUAACCACAUGUUUUAUUGCUGGUUCUCGUUUUUAUGGCUGUAGUAGGUAAAGAUAUCAAUUUUUUGAACAAGGCAUGUGCAAAUAACACAAUAAUAGAGUAAUAAAUAUUAUAGUUUUACAAUUUGUACAGAGCUGGCCAAAAGAAAAUAGUUUACUAUCAUAUUUGGCAGGAUUGAUUAUCAGAUUUUGAGGAAAUGAUGAUAUUUUCACCAUCUCUCCAAAAUAAUAUAAGUCUCAACACAUCUUAAAAUUUGAAUCCUUUACUAAUUUAUAUUUGUUUUCUUGUUAAACACGAAGUUUGUUUAAACUUGGAAAAACUAAGAAAAAAGAAAAGUAUGACAAGUGAAACAUUUUCAAUUACAUUUAAGUUUAUGGAUUGGAUGUUUCAUACGUUUCGAGAAUUCACAAACUGGGGAUCUUUUGAGUCGUUAAAUAAAGCAUCUUCUUCUUUUAUUCAAAUCCAAUUUAGAGAAAAUCGUUGAUUAUAUUAUUACAGCUUGAGUGGAAGGAUUUGUCUUGGUGAGAAAAAAGAUCAUUUUCUUAAUGACUAUCUUCAUUUUGUAUUAGUUCUGAAUAAUUUUGUCACGUGGUACCAAGUAUUUUCCCACGGAGAUUCCGAAAAUCACAUCUGUUUUCGAAUUUGAGCAAUGAUUUUCGUGAAAUCUCAUUCUCUCCUUGUGGAUUAUCACUCAUACAAUUUUUUUCUUUGCAUUUUUUGUUCCUCUUUUGUUUUCAAAAUAGAUUCCGAGCUACUCACUUCAUUAUCGUGUUAAUUCAUAUUAUUUUCACUAGUUGAUAAGCAUUUUUUUUCAGAUUAGUGUUUCCUCCCUCGUUUACUUGUUUGAUAUCCAACUUUUGCCCUUACCAUGUUUCUAUUCGUUUAGUUUGACUGAAAUUCUCCUGACUUUAAUUUUAUCAUCAGUGUUAUUAAAUCAAUUAUAUUUUCCACAGUAUAAUCCAUCACAAAAUAUGUAAUUAUUUUGGAUUUACACAAAAGAAAAUAUAAACAGAGAGAGAUUAACUUUUUAAACUAGGCAAUUCUUCUUUUUCGAUCGGCUUUAUAGCCUUCUUUUUUAAUAAACAUCAAAUAGUUAUUUUUUUUAAACAAAAUAAUGGUUAGAUGUUCAUCUGUCAAAUAUUAAUUAACCUCAAUUGAAUAAUAAACUAAAUAUAAAUGAAAUUAUUUCAAAUAUUAAGAUUUGCAGGAAGGAAAAGCAAUGCUGAAAAUCAGACUAACAAGAUAUUUUUUAAAUGGAAAAUUUGAAGAUUUGCACUCAAAACGUGUCUACAAAUUUGUCAUUAUUAUUUGAUAGAAUGUAUAAUAAAAAACGUUGAUGGGGGCAGUUGCAAGUUAAACAUUAAAUUUACCAGUUUAAAGUUUAUUCUGGAACAGCACAUCAAAAGGACCUAGAGCAAUUGUUUCAGGCAAAUUAAAGUUAUUGAUCAAGUUAUGGAAGACACUUCAAUGUUACCAUCAAUGUAAAUGAAGUCUGAGAAGUCUCGGCUGGAUCCAUCUUGAAUUGUAAUCCAUUUGAAAACAAAUAUAAAACUUGAGCUGAAAACUCUUAAAUUGAAAAAAGGUAUAAAAAGAGAUGAACGACAGUAAUCCUCGGAGAUUGCUCUGUUUCUUAAUUUCCACGCAUGUACCUAAAUCAAACGGCAAAAUGUCCGAGCAAACUAAUUUUUGCUGUCAUAUGUUCAGAUAAACAAUGGUUAUUCUAUAAGAAAUUAUUAAGGUGUAGGUAAAUUGUUUAGAAUUCAAUGUUUUUAAUGGUUUACUACUAUGGAGUCUGGUAUGUUUAUUUUAGAUAUAUUUUAUGGACCAUUAUUACAUCCUUUUUUUUUGUUGAAAGUAUCCUUUAUUUAUUUUUCUACAUUAGUUAUCAAAAUUUACUAGAGGUAUAAUAUAUUUGGAAAACAAAACCUGCAGUGCAGUUUAGGAACUCUUUUCAUCUGUUUAUAGAAUAGUUUGUUUAGAUUAUAUCAAGGGUUUAAUACAGAUAAUGAAAAUUGACUGUGCAGCCCCUUUUUAGAUGCCUUCAUCUUUGUUGGUAGAAUUUCUUAUCUACUCCACAUUUCGAAUUUAUUUUUGAUAUUCAUGAGAAAAAUAACGUUUAAUAGAAUAUUUUUGUUUAAUAGAAUAUUUUUUGAUAUCGUUUGUCUAAUUUGGGGAUGAGGACCACCCUACAUUAUGGGAAGUUUUAAAAUCACAGAAUUCUCUAUAUCAAGAUAAAAAUGAUUUGUUUUGUACUUUAUACAUACGCAGCUAAUAUUUUGGAACUUGGAAUAAAUUUCAAUAACAUUGUUUCAAAUUCUACAAUCCUUAAUUAAUAUAAAAAUUUUCAUGUACCUGUAAUCACUAAUAAAAGUAAUAAUUCGAAAAACAAAGGUAUGUCGUAAAACAUUAAAAGUAUACAGAUUCCCAAAAGGAAAUUACUAUUAUUUGCUGCCCAUAACCUCUACUUAUAUAGUCAUUUAAUAAUAUUAAUUUAUUGUGAAUUGUAAUAAUUAAAUCUAUGCCAUGUUUUAUUGUGAGUAUUAUAUCUAUUAUCAAUAAUUAUUUAAAACUUUCUUAGAAAUAUUAUUAAAAAUAUAUCUUGCUUUAUAUUGCUUUAUUUAUUUUAUCUUUGAAAACACUAUUUUAUUCAAUAUGGAAAUUAUAUAUCAAAAUAAUUAUGUAAUAUUUAAUUACUUAUUAUUUAAUAAAUCAAAACUUUACA
Molecule: long non-coding RNA, 3530 nt
Organism: Diorhabda carinulata
Lineage: Eukaryota; Metazoa; Arthropoda; Insecta; Coleoptera; Chrysomelidae
Exons: 4
Source: RefSeq, a predicted model, not a curated record